This 342-nucleotide unclassified non-coding RNA is filed under the name plant metagenome. Its description in RNAcentral is "partial contains 5.8S ribosomal RNA, internal transcribed spacer 2, and large subunit ribosomal RNA". The stretch from base 1 to 103 matches the Rfam family "5.8S ribosomal RNA", at positions 50 to 154 of the family's 154-position model. The record is from RNAcentral.
GAAGUGCGAUAAGCAAUGCGAAUUGCAGAACCGUGAGUCAUCAGAUUUUUGAACGCAACUGGCGCCGGUUGGCUCUCCAACCGGCAUGCUUGUUUCAGUGUCUCUUUAUCUCAUCACCCAUAUCAUAAUGCGAGAGAUACCCUUCUCUUGCUAAGCUCGAAAGCACUCUGCGCUCUGCGAGCGGCUUCGACUUGUUCGAGGGUCGCACUCAAUGCAGCCGUCACAUUGCUCACAAUGUGAACUCAUUGAGAGCUGAGGCAGUGUAGCGUAAGCUACCAGUGCUUAGUCACACAAACUUUACUUGCAUCUGAAAUCAAGCAGGAUCACCCGCUGAACUUAAGC